UUCGCAGAUCGGGUGAUCGCCUUCGCGCUUUCUUAUAUUUGUGAUUGAAUUGAAAGAGGCGCGAAGGAGGAAAGUCCGAGCUCUAUAGAGCAGCGUAGCGGCUAACGGCCGCCCGCCGAAAGGCGAGGAUUAGAGCCACAGAGACGAGUCCCGUACCUUCUUCGAUACUUUUUAUGUCGGGAAAAGUACGGGGGUGAAACGCGGUAAUCUCUACGCGGAGCAAGACCAAAUAGGUCCCAAUCCAGGCGUUGCUCGCGCCUAUCGAAAAUACAUCGGUAUUGGGACGGGUAAGGUCGCUCGAUCCUUGGAGCAAUCUAAGGGCUAGAUAGAUGAUCACCUCGCUCCGUUCAUAGCGGAGUAAGACAGAACUCGGCUUAUAGAUCUGCGAAAAAA
RNAcentral lists this RNase P RNA (393 nucleotides) under Candidatus Omnitrophota bacterium. Its description in RNAcentral is "RNase P RNA component class A". It matches the Rfam family "Bacterial RNase P class A". From Rfam's summary of the family: Ribonuclease P (RNase P) is a ubiquitous endoribonuclease, found in archaea, bacteria and eukarya as well as chloroplasts and mitochondria. Its best characterised activity is the generation of mature 5'-ends of tRNAs by cleaving the 5'-leader elements of precursor-tRNAs. Lineage: Bacteria; Pseudomonadati; Candidatus Omnitrophota. The record is from RNAcentral.